CAAUGGAUGAAUCAUGAUGUAGUUGGUGUUUGUACUAUAAAGAAUGCAGCUUGCUAAGUCCAUUAUGUCUACAAUGGUUUUUUUUUUUUUAUUAUCAUAAGAUACUGAUCAUGCGAACUGAAAUGGAGCGAACUGAAAUGUCUACAAUGUUUAGCAAUGAACUGAAAUGCGCCGCUGCAUAAUGGAUACAAUGGUGUAUGUAUGUGAACUGAAAUGGAUAUUUGGUAUAGAAUUAAUACCUUGAGUAUCUUGUUGGUUUGUUGUUGUUGAGUUGAAUGAAUUGAGCUGAAAAUUGGUAUUGUUGUUUCAGUAAUUGCAGGUUAAAUCAUGGAAAAAGAUGGAG
Molecule: long non-coding RNA, 343 nt
Filed under: Salvia miltiorrhiza (redroot sage)
Lineage: Eukaryota; Viridiplantae; Streptophyta; Magnoliopsida; Lamiales; Lamiaceae
Description: long non-coding RNA (SMIL_LNC013715)
Source: RNAcentral